Camellia sinensis is the source of this 618-nucleotide non-coding RNA. The record is from RefSeq and is a predicted model, not a curated record. NCBI's taxonomy places the organism in Eukaryota, Viridiplantae, Streptophyta, Magnoliopsida, Ericales, Theaceae.
UGGUUAGGGUUUGGUUUGGAAAAUUACAUAUAUUAAUAAACAACGCUACUACAAACCUCGACAAACUAAGGCGCGAAUGCCUCGAAUUGAGCUGGCAGUUCAAACUCUGGGUACAUUUCACGCGCCUCACUCGGUGUAUAUCUCACGAGCCUUGAAGACUGAAGAGAACAAAUCUGCGUAUCUAGGAGAUAGAGAGGCAGACGACCACGACCCAAGGGCUUGACCCCAACGAUGACGACGACGACCUAGGUGGCCACCGACGACAAGGAAGACCAUCGUUGAGCAUCAACCACGGUCUAGCAACCUCCAAAUCGUCCAGUUUCUCUGAAAAUUUCAGCCUCCAAUGGCCAAGAAGCAACUGAUUCGAGAAGCUUCAUUUUAGCAACAAAAGGAUGGAAGGUUCAAACAAUCCUAGUCAAGAAGUUGAAGAACCUGAGAGUGGUGAAGUUGAAGAACCAAAGCAGGGGAUGUGUUUUACUUCAAAGCAAGAAGUGUAUGCAUUUUAUGCAAAAUAUGCGAAGCACUUUGGAUUUGCUAUAGCUUAUGGAACACAAAAAUUUGGUAAUGAUGGGGAACUAAAAUACUUCGGAAUUGAAUGUACUCGAGCAAGGAUGAGAA